AUACGUAGGGGGCGAGCGUUGUCCGAAGUCACUGGGCGUAAAGCGCGCGUAGGCGGUCUUUUAAGUUGGAUGUGAAAUCCUGCGGCCCAACCGCAGAACUGCAUCCAAAACUGGGAGACUUGAGGAUGGAAGAGGGCAGUGGAAUUCCUGGUGUAGCGGUGAAAUGCGUAGAUAUCAGGAGGAACACCCGUGGCGAAGGCGGCUGCCUGGUCCAUAUCUGACGCUGAGGUGCGAAGGCCAGGGGAGCGAACGGGAUUAGAUACCCCGGUAGUCCUGGCCGUAAACGAUGGAUACUAGGUGUAAGUGGUAUCGACCCCACUUGUGCCGUAGCUAACGCAUUAAGUAUCCCGCCUGGGGAGUACGGCCGCAAGGUUGAA
RNAcentral lists this ribosomal RNA (377 nucleotides) under uncultured bacterium. RNAcentral's name for it is "bacterial SSU rRNA". It matches the Rfam family "Bacterial small subunit ribosomal RNA", at positions 523 to 898 of the family's 1533-position model. The record is from RNAcentral.